RNAcentral lists this unclassified non-coding RNA (339 nucleotides) under soil metagenome. RNAcentral's name for it is "partial contains 5.8S ribosomal RNA, internal transcribed spacer 2, and large subunit ribosomal RNA". The stretch from base 1 to 120 matches the Rfam family "5.8S ribosomal RNA", at positions 35 to 154 of the family's 154-position model. The record is from RNAcentral.
GAUGAAGAACGUAGCGAAAUGCGAUACGUAGUGUGAAUUGCAGAAUUCAGUGAAUCAUCGAAUCUUUGAACGCACAUUGCACCUCUCGGUAUUCCGGGAGGUAUGCCUGUUCGAGCGUCAUUUGUACCCUCAAGCUCUGCUUGGUGUUGGGUGUUUGUUCCGCCUCUGUGUGUGAACUCGCCUCAAAACAAUUGGCAGCCGGCUUACUUGUUUCGGAGCGCAGCACAUUUUGCGAUCCAGAUCAACGUACAGCGGCAUCCAAGAAGCCUUAUUUAACGCUCUUGACCUCGGAUCAGGUAGGGAUACCCGCUGAACUUAAGCAUAUCAAUAAGCGGAGGA